CUGUCCCAGAACUCACUAUGCAGAUAAGGCUGACCUUAAUCUCACCGAGAUCCACCUGCAUCUGCCUCUGCAUCUCAAAGUUCUUUAUUCAAGCAAACAGUAAUGUGAGGGCUGGGAAAGUAGCUCUGUGGUAAAUUUCUUCUCUACCAUGUACCCCAACACAGCAAAAAAGAAAAUAAAAGAAGAAAGAAAAGGAAACAAUGGUUUGGGACAGACAGCAUCCAGCUGACGGCAGGAAGAAGGGCAGAAGAAGCUUUUGUAACUGAGCUGACCUUCGGGUGAGAAACAUCCCUUCACCUCUGCUCCUCCGAGUUUCUACUAUCAAACACUAAUUAGCAGUGCUUCAGAGACUACCCAAGAUGGAGGGAGACACGGGAGAGAAGACAUUCUGGUGGUGACAUUGUUAAGAAGACAUGGUGAUAUUUCUGAAGACUUGCAAUACUGGAGAACGCAGGAGGAAACAGCAGAAGGAAAGGGAAGGGGGAAAACAAAGGAGCUAGGAAGGCCUCACACACAAAUGGAGCAGCCUGAAGAGACAGGUCUGUAGAACCCGAAGAAGCUGCCAGUCUGAGAGGGUUCCUCUGAGAUCUGGAAGGAACAUACUCUAAUCUUCCAAGCAGAAAUCACCCCAAACCAGACAAUAAAGUCUUUGCGAUGCAUCAGAAUGAUAACCAAGUCCCAGAACUCAAAAAGAGAAAGGAAGAGAAAAAAAAUCUCAGCUUAGGGCCACCAGCCUCCCUCACACUGAGGGAGCAACAUUUCCUGGACACAUUCAGGGGACCUGGAGCCACUGAGAGUAGUGCGAAGAUCUCAGUCGAGAUGUUUUAGAUUUUGCCUAGCCUUUCCUUUAAGGAGGUCAAAAACCCUUCAGGUCCACUCCAAAGGAGAAAAAAAUUCCAAAAGUUUACUUCAAAAUGGAAACAAACAUCUCAGGAACUUGUGAAAGCGCCCGUUGGGUAGGAGAAAAAUCUGAGGAACCCUUAAAAGCCCUCAUCCCCUUGCUUAAUGAAUAGAAGAGUGAGGAACCACCACAAGUUCUCCCUCUGGAGAGGGAGAAGGAGUAGGCAGGCAUGCCUCUUCCUCCAGCCAUCACCAAGAGAGCUUCAAAAUGGAGACAUCCAUAAUUUUAUAAACACUUCUCAACCCAGCUUUGUCUCCUGGAAGCCCGCUCUCCUCCAUUUUCUGGUGGAGUUACAGCAUGACAAGGCUUAAGGCUUACCUGACUCAGUUCCCAGCUCUCAACCCAACUAGUCACUGCCUCCCCAAACCUGCAAGCAACCUCCAGAAACAAAACCAAACCAAGCCAAACAGCCAACACAGACACUCAGACACAACCCCCGGGAGCCCUGGAGA
Mesocricetus auratus (golden hamster) is the source of this 1353-nucleotide long non-coding RNA. RefSeq lists it as uncharacterized. The transcript has 3 exons. The record is from RefSeq and is a predicted model, not a curated record. Lineage: Eukaryota; Metazoa; Chordata; Mammalia; Rodentia; Cricetidae.